Molecule: ribosomal RNA, 921 nt
Filed under: uncultured eukaryote
Lineage: Eukaryota
Description: bacterial SSU rRNA
Rfam family: Bacterial small subunit ribosomal RNA
Source: RNAcentral
UGUUGGUAAGGUAAUGGCUUACCAAGGCCACGAUCAGUAGCUGGUUUGAGAGAACGAUCAGCCACACUGGGACUGAGACACGGCCCAGACUCCUCCGGGAGGCAGCAGUGAGGAAUUUUCCGCAAUGGGCGAAAGCCUGACGGGGCAAUACCGCGUGAGGGAUGAAGGAUUUUGGUCUGUAAACCUCUUUUCUCAAGAAAGAAGUUCUGACGGUACUUGAGGAAUAAGCAUCGGCUAACUCCGUGCCAGCAGCCGCGGUAAUACGGGGGAUGCAAGCGUUAUCCGGAAUCAUUGGGCGUAAAGCGCCUGUAGGUUGUUUACUAAGUUUGUUGUUAAAGCCUAGGGCUCAACCCUAGAAAAGCAAUGGAUACUGGUAGACUAGAGUAUGGCAGGGGUAGAGGGAAUUUCUAGUGUAGCGGUGAAAUGCGUAGAUAUUAGAAAGAACACCAGUGGCGAAAGCGCUCUACUGGACCAUUACUGACACUCAGAGGCGAAAGCUAGGGUAGCAAAAGGGAUUAGAUACCCCUGUAGUCCUAGCCGUAAACGAUGGAUACUAGAUGUUGUGUUUAAUUCACAGUAUCGCAGCUAACGCGUUAAGUAUCCCGCCUGGGGAGUACGCUCGCAAGGGUGAAACUCAAAGGAAUUGACGGGGGCCCGCACAAGCGGUGGAGCAUGUGGUUUAAUUCGAUGCAACGCGAAGAACCUUACCAGGGCUUGACAUACUGCAAAUCUUUUUGAGAAAGAAGAGUGCCUUCGGGAAUGUAGAUACAGGUGGUGCAUGGCUGUCGUCAGCUCGUGUCGUGAGAUGUUGGGUUAAGUCCCGCAACGAGCGCAACCCUUAUCCUUUGUUGCCAGCGGUCCGGCCGGGAACUCAAAGGAGACUGCCAGUGGUAAACUGGAGGAAGGUGGGGAUGACGUCAA